AACUUAUACAAGGAAGAGUUUGAUCCUGGCUCAGGAUGAACGCUAGCGAUAGGCUUAACACAUGCAAGUCGAGGGGCAGCACGGAAUAGCAAUAUUUUGGUGGCGACCGGCGCACGGGUGAGUAACACGUAUGCAACCUACCCAUGACAGUGGAAUAACCCGUCGAAAGGCGGACUAAUACCGCAUAAUAACGAGAUACCGCAUGG
Molecule: ribosomal RNA, 206 nt
Filed under: Bacteroidales bacterium
Lineage: Bacteria; Pseudomonadati; Bacteroidota; Bacteroidia; Bacteroidales
Description: partial 16S ribosomal RNA
Rfam family: Bacterial small subunit ribosomal RNA
Source: RNAcentral